CCUACGGGAGGCAGCAGUGGGGAAUUUUGGACAAUGGGGGCAACCCUGAUCCAGCAAUGCCGCGUGUGUGAAGAAGGCCUUCGGGUUGUAAAGCACUUUUGUCCGGAAAGAAAUCCCUUGCCCUAAUACGGCGGGGGGAUGACGGUACCGGAAGAAUAAGCACCGGCUAACUACGUGCCAGCAGCCGCGGUAAUACGUAGGGUGCGAGCGUUAAUCGGAAUUACUGGGCGUAAAGCGUGCGCAGGCGGUUUUGUAAGACAGGCGUGAAAUCCCCGAGCUCAACUUGGGAAUGGCGCUUGUGACUGCAAGGCUAGAGUAUGUCAGAGGGGGGUAGAAUUCCACGUGUAGCAGUGAAAUGCGUAGAGAUGUGGAGGAAUACCGAUGGCGAAGGCAGCCCCCUGGGACGUCACUGACGCUCAUGCACGAAAGCGUGGGGAGCAAACAGGAUUAGAUACCCUGGUAGUCCACGCCCUAAACGAUGUCAACUAGUUGUUGGGGAUUCUAUUCUUCUAGUAACGUAGUACUACGUCGUGUAGUAGACCGCCGUCGGGAGGUACGGUCGCGAAGUAAACGUACGAAGAAGUAGACGGCGUGAGACGUGCCGAACGGACGACGACGAGGGAGGUAGG
Molecule: ribosomal RNA, 629 nt
Filed under: uncultured bacterium
Lineage: Bacteria
Description: bacterial SSU rRNA
Rfam family: Bacterial small subunit ribosomal RNA (bases 1-545)
Source: RNAcentral